Molecule: ribosomal RNA, 695 nt
Filed under: Actinomortierella ambigua
Lineage: Eukaryota; Fungi; Mortierellomycota; Mortierellomycetes; Mortierellales; Mortierellaceae
Description: Mortierella ambigua partial 18S ribosomal RNA
Rfam family: 5.8S ribosomal RNA (bases 215-368)
Source: RNAcentral
GGCUGGGAAGGAUCAUUCACAAUAAGAGUGUUUAUGGCACUCUUCAAAAAUCCAUACCCACCUUGUGUGCAACGUAAAAAGAAAAAAAAAGAAAGAUGCGAGUCAUGAGGGGAACCUCGAGUCUUGCUCCCUCUCUCUUUUUUCUUUUCCACAUACACCUUUCUAUUAGUUCCUAUUGUCUGAAGCUGUUAGAGAAUGACUAAUUCUUAAACAUAACUUUCAACAACGGAUCUCUUGGCUCUCGCAUCGAUGAAGAACGCAGCGAAAUGCGAUACGUAAUGUGAAUUGCAGAAUUCAGUGAAUCAUCGAAUCUUUGAACGCAUAUUGCGCUCUUUGGUAUUCCGAAGAGCAUGCUUGUUUGAGUAUCAGUAAACACCUCAACCAGAUUUUUUUCUGGAUGGACUUGAGCAAACCCAACAUUGGUCUCUUUCGAGAGGUCGGCGGCGGGUUGCUUAAAAUGCAGGUGCAGCUGUGACAAGAACAGACUGAGCUAAAAGCAUAUCUAAUUUAGUCCGCCUGGCGGAUUAUCUCUAUUUGCUGCAGUUCAACUAAAAGUCGUCUUGGCGAGCUGACUGAUGCAGGAUUUGUCAGACUUUCCUCUCUCUUUGGAGAAAGGGCUUUCUUUCAAAACUCGAUCUCAAAUCAAGUAAGACUACCCGCUGAACUUAAGCAUUCAAAACCCGAGGAAAAAAAAA